GAAAAUUCCAUGGAAAGUUUUCUGAAGACAGUCGGUUCCCUUCAUUCAUUCAUAUAAAAACUUGAAUUAGUGAGAAUGAGAAAAGAGUGAAAAUAAAGCCUAUAUGAAGGAGGAAAGUCCACUGAUGACUGAUGAGUCACCAGCAUGUACCUGUGUGCCAAAGGCUGUCUAAUUCUAAACUUUAAAAUACACUUGUUUUAGUUAUUUUAACUACAAAUUGAAAUGAAAAUAAUGAUAAUAAUAAUAAUAAUGAAAAGGAAAUUAUACAUUUACACACCUAAGGAUUAUAUCGACCAAACGAACUGCGUAUGCAUCCUCUACUUGGGUUCUUAUGAAUAAGUAUGCAGCAUUUAAAACAAUAAACAUAUAAUAUGCAUUGUUGCUCAAUAUUUAAUUACAGCUUCAGAUGCAUGAUAUUUUAAUUUGCUACGAGCAGGAUACACAAGAUCAAGUGUUCAGCUUGGACAUGCUGAUGGUUGUCGUUGUGAUAAACAUCAUAAAAAGCAACCAUUCUCGUGUCAGUGCUUAAUAUGCAUCUCGUAUAUGAAAAGCAUUUUAGGGGGCCUUGGCUUUUGGGGGCCCAAGGCAGUUGCCAUCCUUUUCCUAAUGGGUAAGUCUUAAUUAGUCUUCCUCCAACUCUGAACAGGUCACUGUCUUAACAAGUUCUGCGAUAGCAUAAUUACACAUUUUUAGUUGAAAUUACAGCCCCAUUCUCAGACAUCCCAUAAUUCUGAGUGUAAUACACUUAGAGGGUGUCUUAGAGCAGAUCUUCAAAAUUAAUUCAUUAACCUGAACAAGUUCGCACAAGGCUGCAUCAUGUCAUAUAAUUAUGUGUAUGUCACAAUCAAAUAUGUAAAACAUGGAAAUUGCCUUUGAACUGUUGUUCACACGUUCUACUGAAAUUCUCCUCCUGUAUAUUUCGGAAAUUUCUGAUCGGUGUGCAUGUCUUCAAAGUGUGUCUGUGCAUUUCAGAUAAGCCUCCUGCAUUGUUUACAGUAAGGAAUGACGGAGCUGGGCCAUUCUUGGUGGGUUUGUUGCUAUGGAAUUGGACAGUGAGCACUUGGAUUAUUCACAUUUGAGGUCAGUCUCUCCUCCUUGGCUUUCUCUUGGCCCACUGAACACCCCUGAGGAGCAUCUUAUUGCUCAAAGUUUUCUGUUUUAGUGCAUUUAGAGACUUAAUUAAAUUCUCUGAGAAAAGCAAAUCAGCUUUAUUUUACGUCCGAAAGUCCUCAGAAAAAAUACAAUUGUUGACGCACAGUAUGAGUAAAAGGCGCGCUCAUGAGAAAAAGAUAAUGAUAGAUAUGACAGCUUGAGACGUUUCUGAGAUGUCUACAGAAACUCUUGCCACGUGUGAGUCUUUAUCUCAGGAGAAAUGUCUAAAAAGCAGGAUUUACCGUAAUGAAAAUGAACACCAAAUUAAUAACAUCAUAUGAAAAUGUUAUUGCUUAAAAGCUGUUCUUUUGCAGCUCAGAUGUCAUGAAGAUCUCAUGUAAGUAUCCACUUUGUUUUAGAUCUCUCUCCUAAAAUUCCUUUGUGGAGAAACAAAAAUAGAUCGAUAGUGAGAUGUCUCACUUUUGAUUGCGGACUUUGGUAAUUUGACUAAUCUGAGCA
This is a long non-coding RNA of Carassius carassius (crucian carp), 1611 nucleotides long. RefSeq lists it as uncharacterized. The record is from RefSeq and is a predicted model, not a curated record. The transcript has 3 exons. Lineage: Eukaryota; Metazoa; Chordata; Actinopteri; Cypriniformes; Cyprinidae.